GAUGAACGCUGGCGGCGUGUUUAACACAUGCAAGUCGAGCGAGAUGUUUCUCAGUAGAUUCUUCGGAUGAUACAGAGUUACGGAAAGCGGCGGACGGGUGAGUAACGCGUAGGCAACCUGCCCCUUGCAGAGGGAUAGCCUCGGGAAACCGGGAUUAAAACCUCAUAAUGCGGCACUGAGACAUCUCAGAGCCGCCAAAGAUUUAUCGGCAAGGGAUGGGCCUGCGUCUGAUUAGUUAGUUGGUGGGGUAACGGCCUACCAAGGCGACGAUCAGUAGCCGACCUGAGAGGGUGAUCGGCCACAUUGGAACUGAGACACGGUCCAA
Molecule: ribosomal RNA, 325 nt
Filed under: uncultured bacterium
Lineage: Bacteria
Description: bacterial SSU rRNA
Rfam family: Bacterial small subunit ribosomal RNA
Source: RNAcentral